This 459-nucleotide ribosomal RNA is filed under the name uncultured bacterium. Its description in RNAcentral is "bacterial SSU rRNA". It matches the Rfam family "Bacterial small subunit ribosomal RNA", at positions 28 to 483 of the family's 1533-position model. The record is from RNAcentral.
GAUGAACGCUGGCGGCGUGCCUAAUACAUGCAAGUCGAGCGCAAAGAUCAGGAGCUUGCUCCUGUGAUUUGAGCGGCGGACGGGUGAGUAACACGUAGGCAACCUACCCUUGAGAUUGGGAUAACUACCGGAAACGGUAGCUAAUACCGGAUACGACCUUUCCACAUAAGUGGAAUUGUUAAAAGGCGGAUUUAUCUGCCGCUCAUGGAUGGGCCUGCGGUGCAUUAGCUAGUUGGUGAGAUAGUAGCUCACCAAGGCGACGAUGCAUAGCCGACCUGAGAGGGUGAUCGGCCACACUGGGACUGAGACACGGCCCAGACUCCUACGGGAGGCAGCAGUAGGGAAUCUUCCGCAAUGGACGAAAGUCUGACGGAGCAACGCCGCGUGAGUGAUGAAGGGUUUCGGCUCGUAAAACUCUGUUGUUAAGGAAGAAUACUUGAGGUAGUAACUGGCCUUGAG